GACGAACCGUGCGAACGUUGUUCGGAAUCACUGGGCAUAAAGGGCGUGUAGGCGGUUUGUUAAGUCUGGCGUGAAAGCUCUCGGCUAAACCGGGAGAGGUCGUUGGAUACUGGCAAACUAGAGGAUGGUAGAGGCGUGUGGAAUUCCGGGUGUAGUGGUGAAAUGCGUAGAGAUCCGGAGGAACACCAGUGGCGAAGGCGACACGCUGGGCCAUACCUGACGCUAAAGCGCGACAGCAUGGGGAGCAAACGGG
Molecule: ribosomal RNA, 253 nt
Filed under: uncultured bacterium
Lineage: Bacteria
Description: partial 16S ribosomal RNA
Rfam family: Bacterial small subunit ribosomal RNA
Source: RNAcentral